Molecule: ribosomal RNA, 253 nt
Filed under: uncultured bacterium
Lineage: Bacteria
Description: partial 16S ribosomal RNA
Rfam family: Bacterial small subunit ribosomal RNA
Source: RNAcentral
UACAGAGGCCUCGAGCGUUAGGCGGAAUCACUGGGCUUAAAGCGUGUGUAGGCGGACUGGUAAGUACCUUGUGAAAUCCCACAGCUUAACUGUGGAACUGCUCGGUAUACUGCUGGUCUUGAGCCACUCAGGGGCUACCGGAACAAAUGGUGGAGCGGUGAAAUGCGUAGAUAUCAUGUGGACCGCCAAUGGUGAAAACAGGUAGCUGGGGGUGUGCUGACGCUGAGACACGAAAGCCAGGGGAGCAAACGGG